UACGGGGGGUGCGAGCGUUGUCCGGAAUCACUGGGCGUAAAGGGCGCGUAGGUGGCGUCGUAAGUCUGUGGUGAAAGCCCGGAGCUCAACUCCGGGUCUGCCGCGGAUACUGCGAGGCUUGAGUGCUGUAGAGGGGGGUAGAAUGCCCGGUGGAGCGGUGAAAUGCGUUGAGAUCGGAAGGAACGCCCGUGGCGAAAGCGAGGUCCUGGACGUCAUCUGACGCUGAGACGCGAAAGCUAGGGGAGCGAACGGG
RNAcentral lists this ribosomal RNA (253 nucleotides) under uncultured bacterium. RNAcentral describes it as "partial 16S ribosomal RNA". It matches the Rfam family "Bacterial small subunit ribosomal RNA", at positions 524 to 776 of the family's 1533-position model. The record is from RNAcentral.